GUGAGGAAUAUUGCGCAAUGGAGGCAACUCUGACGCAGCCAUGCCGCGUGCAGGAAGAAGGCGCUACGCGUUGUAAACUGCUUUUAACCGGGAAGAAACCCCAGGACGUGUCCUGGGUUGACGGUACCGGAGGAAUAAGCACCGGCUAACUUCGUGCCAGCAGCCGCGGUAAUACGAAGGGUGCAAGCGUUAUCCGGAUUCAUUGGGUUUAAAGGGUGCGUAGGCGGAGCGUUAAGUCAGUGGUGAAAUCCUGCAGCUUAACUGUAGACUUGCCAUUGAUACUGGCGCUCUUGAGUGCACUUGAAGUGGGCGGAAUGUGCCGUGUAGCGGUGAAAUGCUUAGAUAUGGCACAGAACACCAAUUGCGAAGGCAGCUCACUAAGGCGAUACUGACGCUGAGGCACGAAAGCGUGGGGAUCGAACAGGAUUAGAAACCCCAGUAGUCC
RNAcentral lists this ribosomal RNA (445 nucleotides) under uncultured bacterium. Its description in RNAcentral is "partial 16S ribosomal RNA". It matches the Rfam family "Bacterial small subunit ribosomal RNA", at positions 354 to 796 of the family's 1533-position model. The record is from RNAcentral.